RNAcentral lists this ribosomal RNA (439 nucleotides) under uncultured bacterium. Its description in RNAcentral is "bacterial SSU rRNA". It matches the Rfam family "Bacterial small subunit ribosomal RNA", at positions 338 to 795 of the family's 1533-position model. The record is from RNAcentral.
CCUACGGGAGGCAGCAGUGGGGAAUAUUGGACAAUGGGCGAAAGCCUGAUCCAGCAAUGCCGCGUGUGUGAAGAAGGCCUUAGGGUUGUAAAGCUCUUUCACCGGUGAAGAUAAUGACGGUAACCGGAGAAGAAGCCCCGGCUAACUUCGUGCCAGCAGCCGCGGUAAUACGAAGGGGGCUAGCGUUGUUCGGAAUUACUGGGCGUAAAGCGCGCGUAGGCGGAUGGAUAAGUCAGAGGUGAAUCCCGGGGCUCAACCCCGGAAUUGCCUUUGAUACUGUUUAUCUUGAGUGCAGAAGAGGUAAGUGGAAUUCCGAGUGUAGAGGUGUAAUUCGUAGAUAUUCGGAGGAACACCAGUGGCGAAGGCGGCCCCCUGGACGAAGACUGACGCUCAGGUGCGAAAGCGUGGGGAGCAAACAGGAUUAGAUACCCGGGUAGUC